GGUAGAAUGGCUGAGUAAAGCAUUAGACUGUAAAUCUGAAGACAGAGGUUUAACUCCUCGUUUACCA
Molecule: transfer RNA, 67 nt
Filed under: Ovis aries (sheep)
Lineage: Eukaryota; Metazoa; Chordata; Mammalia; Artiodactyla; Bovidae
Rfam family: tRNA
About the family: Transfer RNA (tRNA) molecules are approximately 80 nucleotides in length. Their secondary structure includes four short double-helical elements and three loops (D, anti-codon, and T loops). Further hydrogen bonds mediate the characteristic L-shaped molecular structure. tRNAs have two regions of fundamental functional importance: the anti-codon, which is responsible for specific mRNA codon recognition, and the 3' end, to which the tRNAs corresponding amino acid is attached (by aminoacyl-tRNA synthetases). tRNAs cope with the degeneracy of the genetic code in two manners: having more than one tRNA (with a specific anti-codon) for a particular amino acid; and 'wobble' base-pairing, i.e. permitting non-standard base-pairing at the 3rd anti-codon position.
Source: Rfam by way of RNAcentral